AUGAAUAAGACAAAUAGAGCUCACAGAACACAGAAGCGUCACUGUGGAUUUAUAAUACAUGGAAGCACAUUUAGCUUUAGCACGUCGCAUCCGAUAGACCAACAUGUAAAUAUAGACAGCUACCUGUCCUUCUCCUUCUCCUCGACCCUGGCGCCGGAUGGUCAGGCUUCCCUCGUCCGCGAACGGCAGGUUCUCCGACGAACUGCCCGCCGAGCCGGGGUGGGGCGAGGACGGGGGGUUGGGGGCGGAGCAAUUUUCCGGGAGAGGGGCGUCUUCGGGCUGGACGGCGGGAGACGGGAAGGGAGCGGGAGUCGGCUGUUCGCGCCUGGCAGCCGCCACCAGCUCGCUGACCGGGCCACUAAUGGUCCGCCGCCGGUUCACCACUUCGCCGUCCAGGCCGAUGGCGUCGCGCGUCUUCCCCACCUGGUGAACACACGCCGCGCAGCGCGGCGGUCACUAACUGCAUGCUGGUACAUUGGACAUAUUGGAGCGCAUAAAGUCCUGAAACUAGAAUACCUGCAGGAGAUUCUUUUGCAGCGCCAUGCCUUUGGCUCCGCCUCCAAUAGAAGACAUCUCCAACAUGGCGGCGAUGCUCCUCACACUACCCACGCUGCUCGUCUCGACGGGAACCGCCCCCACGGACAUCCCCAGGUCGCUGGCCCGCCGCUGUUGGAGGUAAGGAACGUCCAGCAUCCCCCCUGUGGUGGCGAGCUCGUGCGGCUGCGCGUUGGCCUCCGUCAGGUUGGAGUUGGAGGUGGAGAUGGCGGAGCUGGAGCGCUUGGGCGGCGGCGGGGGCGGCCCUUUCUUCUUCUGGCGCAGGGCAAAGGGCUGCGUGUGGUAGCGGUUGAGGGUCUUGUCCUGGUUGCGCACCGAGUGGCUGCGGCUGACGCGGUGGGUCACCGUCGCGUAUUUGACUCCGUCCCCUCUCACGGCGCCACAGGCCGGACCUCCCGCCACCUCGGCCUCCCCCCCUCCCUCGCGCCCCUCUCCUCCCCCCGCCCUCUCGUCACACUCACCGUCCGAGGCGGCGUAUCGGUUCGGGGGGUGUCCGCGCUUGUUCUGGAGCGCCGAAGACUCCCCCCCUUCCCCCUCGGCCAGCUCCGCCUCCGGUGGGAGGCAGAGGAGGGGGACCCGCGGGGGCGGCUCCUCCAUCACCUCGGGGGGGGCGGGCUGCUGUUGCUGGGGACCCGGCGGGCCGCGUUGGGUCGGGGACUGAGGGGGUUGGGAGCGCGGCGACUGAGGCCUCUCCCCCUGGAUGAACUGGGGGCACGGCUUGUGUUUGGCCUGCGGGGACGCUGUGCUCUGGACGGAGGAGGUGGAGGAGGAGGAAGAUGA
Long non-coding RNA from Gasterosteus aculeatus (three-spined stickleback), 1335 nucleotides. The record is from Ensembl. Lineage: Eukaryota; Metazoa; Chordata; Actinopteri; Perciformes; Gasterosteidae.